UACUGCAAUCUGUGAUGGGCUAUGUAAAAGUGGGGAUGUAUAUGCAGCUAAUGAGCUUCUACAUGAAAUGUGUGGAAAGGGUCUCAAAUUGAAUAUUAUCACUUACAACGCACUCAUUAAUGGAC
RNAcentral lists this microRNA precursor (125 nucleotides) under Daucus carota subsp. sativus. RNAcentral describes it as "sRNA DCAR_mi00190". The record is from RNAcentral. Lineage: Eukaryota; Viridiplantae; Streptophyta; Magnoliopsida; Apiales; Apiaceae.